AGAGUUUGAUCCUGGCUCAGGAUGAACGUUGGCGGCGUGCCUAAUACAUGCAAGUCGAACGGUAAGGCGCCCUUCGGGGUGCUGUAGAGUGGCGGACGGGUGAGUAACACGUAACUGAUCUGCCCCAUAGACUGGGAUAACCUUUGGAAACAGAGGCUAAUACGGGAUAAGCUCGCGGUAGUUAGAGAGCCGUGAGGGAAUGUUUAGGCGCUAUGGGAUGAGGUUGCGGGCCAUCAGCUAGUUGGUGAGGUAAAGGCUCACCAAGGCGAUGACGGUUAGGGGAUCUGAGAGGGUGGCCCCCCACACUGGGACUGAGACACGGCCCAGACUCCUACGGGAGGCAGCAGUAAGGGAUAUUGCACAAUGGACGGAAGUCUGAUGCAGCGACGCCGCGUGGGUGAAGAAGGUUUUCGGAUCGUAAAGCCCUUUUCUAUGUGACGAGGAAGGACGGUAGCAUAGGAAUAAGUGUCGGCUAACUACGUGCCAGCAGCCGCGGUAAAACGUAGGACACGAACGUUAUCCGGAGUUACUGGGCGUAAAGCGCGCGUAGGCGGUUGGUUAAAUUGCCUAUGAAAGGUAUCGGCUAAACUGGUAUAAGUUGGGCGAAACUGGCUAACUAGAGAGAAAUAGAGGGAAGUAGAAUUCCGGGUGUAGUGGUGAAAUGCGUAGAUAUCCGGAGGAAUACCGGUGGCGAAGGCGGCUUCCUGGAUUUCCACUGACGCUGAAGCGCGAAAGCGUGGGUAGCGAACGGGAUUAGAAACCCCGGU
This 767-nucleotide ribosomal RNA is filed under the name uncultured Chloroflexota bacterium. RNAcentral describes it as "bacterial SSU rRNA". It matches the Rfam family "Bacterial small subunit ribosomal RNA", at positions 8 to 791 of the family's 1533-position model. The record is from RNAcentral. Lineage: Bacteria; Bacillati; Chloroflexota.